GGCUGGUCUGAGUGCAGUGGUGUUUACAACUAAUUGAUCACAACCAGUCACAGAUUCAUUUGUUCCUUCUCCACUCCCACUGCUUCACUUAACCAGCCUGUG
RNAcentral lists this Y RNA (102 nucleotides) under Microcebus murinus (gray mouse lemur). Its description in RNAcentral is "Y RNA (ENSMICG00000044646.1)". It matches the Rfam family "Y RNA". From Rfam's summary of the family: Y RNAs are components of the Ro ribonucleoprotein particle (Ro RNP), in association with Ro60 and La proteins. The Y RNAs and Ro60 and La proteins are well conserved, but the function of the Ro RNP is not known. Lineage: Eukaryota; Metazoa; Chordata; Mammalia; Primates; Cheirogaleidae. The record is from Rfam by way of RNAcentral.